UACACCGGGAAUGGCGGAAAGUGGGAAGAAGAGCUUGGCACCACUGACGGCAGGACCACGGUGAAGCCCUUCGUGGAGCCACCUCCGCCCCUUGCAGGCAGAGGGAUCUGAGCGGCUCCAAGCGCUUCGUUUAAAUCCAGCGGGAUUGGGAAGAGUCACCCCGACCCCUCCGGGAUAAGGACGAGGAGAACAAACACCGAGAAACUGGAAAAAAAGAUGUGGGAAAACUGGAAUUAUGGACAUCGUGGGAUGAGGAGAGGGAAACCUCUGGAUACACAGGAAAAGGAGGGUGGGAAGGGCAGAAUUCCUGAGCCAAACCACGUGGCACGGAAUUCCCGAGUUUUAUUUCGGUAAAAUAAAAGUGUCUCAAUGCUGUGGAA
This is a non-coding RNA of Lonchura striata (white-rumped munia), 380 nucleotides long. Lineage: Eukaryota; Metazoa; Chordata; Aves; Passeriformes; Estrildidae. The record is from RefSeq and is a predicted model, not a curated record.